AAAAAUAAAAUAAAAAAAUAAGAAAAACAUAAAUAUUCUGUAUAUGGACCCUACAAAAACGCUGGAUUUAAUUUAGUGGUUAUAUUUACUCAACAUGUGAACCCCACUAAAAAAUAUUUUGUCUUUUUGCGGCAGAAAAUACUCAUAGUUGUACUGUUGUACCAUCGUGUUCAUAGUUGAACUUUUCACAGUUUUCAUAAUUUACAGUUGAACUAGACGGUAAAUAAUUAAUUAUAAGUUGAACUCACACUUUGUCUCUAUUAUUUUGCAUUUCCAAAGUUUUCAUAAUAUUACAUCGGUAAAAGCUUAGUUUUCACCUAUUUUACUUCAUAUAAGGUGAUCAUAUACUAAAUGUUCCUUGUAUUAGAAGGGGUGUAUUAUAUGAAAACAACAUUGUUUUUUAGAAAAUAUUAAAUUUUAUUGCAUUGAUAUAAAAUU
Molecule: small RNA, 438 nt
Filed under: Arabidopsis thaliana (thale cress)
Lineage: Eukaryota; Viridiplantae; Streptophyta; Magnoliopsida; Brassicales; Brassicaceae
Description: ATSL082860
Source: RNAcentral